GAUGAACGCUGGCGGCGUGCCUAAUACAUGCAAGUCGAGCGAACAGACGAGGAGCUUGCUCCUCUGACGUUAGCGGCGGACGGGUGAGUAACACGUGGAUAACCUACCUAUAAGACUGGGAUAACUUCGGGAAACCGGCGCUAAUACCGGAUAAUAUAUUGAACCGCAUGGUUCAAUAGUGAAAGACGGUUUUGCUGUCACUUAUAGAUGGAUCCGCGCCGCAUUAGCUGGUUGGUAAGGUAACGGCUUACCAAGGCGACGAUGCGUAGCCGACCUGAGAGGGUGAUCGGCCACACUGGAACUGAGACACGGUCCAGACUCCUACGGGAGGCAGCAGUAGGGAAUCUUCCGCAAUGGGCGAAAGCCUGACGGAGCAACGCCGCGUGAGUGAUGAAGGUCUUCGGAUCGUAAAACUCUGUUAUUAGGGAAGAACAAAUGUGUAAGUAACUAUGCACGUCUUGACGGUACCGAAUCAGAAAGCCACGGCUAACUACGUG
Molecule: ribosomal RNA, 497 nt
Filed under: uncultured bacterium
Lineage: Bacteria
Description: partial 16S ribosomal RNA
Rfam family: Bacterial small subunit ribosomal RNA
Source: RNAcentral